RNAcentral lists this ribosomal RNA (404 nucleotides) under Fusobacteriota bacterium. Its description in RNAcentral is "Fusobacteria bacterium partial 16S ribosomal RNA". It matches the Rfam family "Bacterial small subunit ribosomal RNA", at positions 355 to 776 of the family's 1533-position model. The record is from RNAcentral. Lineage: Bacteria; Fusobacteriati; Fusobacteriota.
UGGGGAAUAUUGCACAAUGGAGGGAACUCUGAUGCAGCGACGCCGCGUGAGUGAUGAAGGAAUUCGUUUCGUAAAACUCUGUUCUAUUGGAAGAAAAGGACUGUACCAUAGGAGAAAGCUCCGGCUAAAUACGUGCCAGCAGCCGCGGUAAUACGUAUGGAGCGAGCGUUGUCCGGGAUUAUUGGGCGUAAAGGGUGCGCAGGCGGCUUUACAAGUUGGAUGUGAAAUAUUGUGGCUCAACCACAAACGUGCAUCCACAACUGCAAAGCUUGAGUUAAGGAGAGGUAAGUGGAAUUCCUGGUAUAGCGGUGGAAUGCGUAGAUAUCAGGAGGAAUACCGGUGGCGAAGGCGACUUACUGGACUUAAACUGACGCUCAGGCACGAAAGCGUGGGGAGCAAACAGG